RNAcentral lists this unclassified non-coding RNA (303 nucleotides) under Hevea brasiliensis (rubber tree). The record is from RNAcentral. Lineage: Eukaryota; Viridiplantae; Streptophyta; Magnoliopsida; Malpighiales; Euphorbiaceae.
GAAAAAGUAACCAGAGACAACUAAAGGAUUUUUUUUUCUUUUUAAUUAGGUAAAAUAAAACUGAAGGUAGUAUUUACAGCUUCAGAGGGUCGACUACUAAUAAGACACAAACAGAAUUAAUAUUUUUGCUCCAUGAUUUUAACCUUCAGUCACUUCAAUUAAUCAAGUCAUUCUCCAAAGGUAGAUAAAGCUAAUGCACGGUUCAAUAGACAUACCUGCAAUUGAAUUCUGAAAGGGAAUAUAGCUUCAAACACGAGAAGUUUCGAUUUUGUAUGAUCCCCUACGCAAAAGCUGAGAUCAAAG